RNAcentral lists this ribosomal RNA (450 nucleotides) under uncultured bacterium. Its description in RNAcentral is "bacterial SSU rRNA". It matches the Rfam family "Bacterial small subunit ribosomal RNA", at positions 354 to 796 of the family's 1533-position model. The record is from RNAcentral.
GUGGGGAAUAUUGGACAAUGGGCGAAAGCCUGAUCCAGCCAUGCCGCGUGUGUGAAGAAGGUCUUCGGAUUGUAAAGCACUUUAAGUUGGGAGGAAGGGCAGUAAGUUAAUACCUUGCUGUUUUGACGUUACCGACAGAAUAAGCACCGGCUAACUUCGUGCCAGCAGCCGCGGUAAUACGAAGGGUGCAAGCGUUAAUCGGAAUUACUGGGCGUAAAGCGCGCGUAGGUGGUUUUGUAAGUUGGAGGUGACAUCCCCGGGCUCAACCGGGGAACUGCCUCCAAAACUGCAUGACUAGAGUACGGUAGAGGGUAGUGGAAUUUCCUGUGUAGCGGUGAAAUGCGUAGAUAUAGGAAGGAACACCAGUGGCGAAGGCGACUACCUGGACUGAUACUGACACUGAGGUGCGAAAGCGUGGGGAGCAAACAGGAUUAGAAACCCGAGUAGUCC